RNA transcript from Lolium rigidum, 1644 nucleotides. RefSeq lists it as uncharacterized. NCBI's taxonomy places the organism in Eukaryota, Viridiplantae, Streptophyta, Magnoliopsida, Poales, Poaceae. The record is from RefSeq and is a predicted model, not a curated record. The transcript is spliced from 12 exons.
GUCUCUCAGGGAUUCUAAAGGAAGGAGCAUGUUCAACGGUAGUUGGAGCAGCAGCUCAACUUCUCCCAGGUGCAAGUAGAACUUGUGACAUGUGUUAUGCAGGCUGGUAUGGACGAGACAGACUUGGAUGGGGCACUUACUGGUUUUGUGGUUGUAGUUCCUAUGGAGCCUGGAAAGGCUGAGUGUGGAAACGAGGCAUGUACCGAAGCGAUUGCGACAACACAGGCGAAGAUUCCUAAGAGCUUCAGUGAAGAUAGUGAAGACCCUCAACAAGAGAGGAAAGGCAACCAGUUGAACAUGGAAGGCAGUCUGAUUUUCUUCCUCCACAUGUGGGCAUUCUGCAGCAUGUACACAUGCGAGAACAUUAGUGCUCUCCGCCAUGACGAUUGCAAAGGCCCUCAACAAGCGGUCAGUGCUGGUGAUCAUGGGGCUCUACCUUUGUACUGUGGAACAAGAGAGGAAGCAUGUGUGUUGCCACCGGUGCAGGAUAACGAGGAGGUAUAGAUGCUAGCCAGAGGUCCUGAUUCAUCACUUGUAAGCUGGAAGACAAGGAGACGUCACCAUGUGCUUUGGUCCAGCUGCUUUCUCAUGCAGCAGCCAAAACUUAAGUCCAUUGAGUCUUAGCUUUAUGAGGCUCUGAGCUGUAAUGAUGAUCAAUAGUUGGGUCUGAAUCGUCUUCUGUCAUUUCAACCCCAAAGAUGAUAGAAUCAACUGCCGAUUUAGCAAAGAGCUAUUGAAGAGGAGUUAGCAAAGAGGGAAGCCCUUAUUGAGGACUUAGAUUGUGGUCAGCUUGAACGCUUUGUGUUCUCUGAUCUAGCACUUUCCAUGUUUAAAUACAUGCUCUUUUGAUUGCGUGAAGGCCUGUAGAGUUCCAUGGUGCUGCAGCGUGGAGUGGAUUUAAGUCAAAACCGUCCUACAACUGCAGUGUGGAGUGGGAUACCGAGGAGACCAGGAUGGUGCACGGAUCCUCAUCUACCACCAUGUGACGUGUUUGUUGAAAUUAUGGCUCCAACCUUCUAGAGAGAUGCAUGGAGAUGUGUAUGGCAUAUGAUUAUGGUAAAUCAUAAUCCCGUCCUUUUCUACAUGGCCGGGUUCUAGAUUUUGCUCUGGAAAUGUUUGGAGGUAUGAACCACAAGCCCUUGUCGAUUAGGAGCAGCAGGGGCGUUGCAGCAGGCCGAUUCAAAGCUUCCCUAUUGGUGGAAAGCUUGAGAUAGCGGUUUGUCGGCUUGCAUUUGAGAGUAUGCCGCUUUACCGCAGAUCGAUGAAUGCAAAUCAUUUUUUGGCGUCUUUGAUGGGCAUGGAGGACAAUAAUGAGGAGCAGAUGUCAUACCAUGAACGUGUAGCUGCUUCUUGCAGCCCAAUGCAUCGCUUGGAAGCUGAAGACACUCGGGGACAAGGAGACGUCGUCAAAUGCGUACCCCAGGAGCAUGAUUGCAAUGUGUUAGCAGACAUGGUUUGAGAUGAAAUAUAGCUAUCCUAGGAUUGAUUGCAAAAACAUCUCUUCAGUGCACCAGCAGCUUUCCUUGAUGUUCGUUGUUCGGUGUUGUGGGAUUGUUGUUUGGCGAUGUAUAUUUGUGUGUCUGAAUGUCAUUUGAGAUCUGUGCUUUAUGCACUUCAGUAUUUAUUGAAGUAUACUACUACGUC